GAUGAACGCUGGCGGCGUGCUUAACACAUGCAAGUCGAACGGAAAGGCCCAAGCUUGCUUGGGUACUCGAGUGGCGAACGGGUGAGUAACACGUGGGUGAUCUGCCCUGCACUUCGGGAUAAGCCUGGGAAACUGGGUCUAAUACCGGAUAGGACGAUGGUUUGGAUGCCAUUGUGGAAAGUUGUUUCGGUGUGGGAUGAGCUCGCGGCCUAUCAGCUUGUUGGUGGGGUAAUGGCCUACCAAGGCGUCGACGGGGAGCCGGCCUGAGAGGGUGUACGGCCACAUUGGGACUGAGAGACGGCCCAGACUCCUACGGGAGGCAGCAGUGGGGAAUAUUGCACAAUGGGCGCAAGCCUGAUGCAGCGACGCCGCGUGGGGGAUGACGGCCUUCGGGUUGUAAACUCCUUUCGCUAGGGACGAAGCGUUUUUGUGACGGUACCUGGAGAAGAAGCACCGGCUAACUACGUG
RNAcentral lists this ribosomal RNA (468 nucleotides) under uncultured bacterium. RNAcentral's name for it is "partial 16S ribosomal RNA". It matches the Rfam family "Bacterial small subunit ribosomal RNA", at positions 28 to 507 of the family's 1533-position model. The record is from RNAcentral.